UUGGAAAUGCAAAAUAGACCUCUGUGUGUGUCUUCCUCCAGCUUUUCUUAACUCUCAUUGCUAAAUUCAUGAUUUCGUGGUAAAAAAAAAAAAGCCCCUGGAAAACAGCCAGUAAAUUCUUGGUGUUUAAUAUUAUCCUAAAGGCAAGCAUCUUUCUCUUUCCAACUUGCUGACAACACAAUUGUUAGGGGUCAUGCACUCAAAAUGGGUGUGUCUUCUUGGUAAAAAAUAAUACACAUGUGGUUGUCCUAGCAGUUCCUGAUCCUGUUUCUAUUUUCUACACUUUCUCUAAGAGGAUGUCUGGGUCAGCUCUGACACACCCAGACCCUUCAACUCUGUCUUAACAUCCUGGACUGCUGCCAGUCUCCUUUCUCCAGACGAAGCAGCAUAAGACCAAUCUACGAGGACUUUGGAGCUGGGUGUCUACAAGGCCAGGAACCGCCAAUAAUUGUGCCUCCUUGAAUUCAAUAUUCAUUCCAACAAGAAGAUAAAACCAAAUUGCAGCAAGUCAUAGAAGUUCCCUUUUCAUUUUCAUUUCUUGCCAGACUAUUAUCUUACUUUAUUUUAACUCUUUCUUCAACUUUAUUACUUCUAACUAUUUACACCUGUGAUAGAAAAAA
RNAcentral lists this long non-coding RNA (620 nucleotides) under Bos indicus x Bos taurus (hybrid cattle). Its description in RNAcentral is "lncRNA (ENSBIXG00000002972.1)". Lineage: Eukaryota; Metazoa; Chordata; Mammalia; Artiodactyla; Bovidae. The record is from RNAcentral.